Molecule: long non-coding RNA, 350 nt
Organism: Papaver somniferum (opium poppy)
Lineage: Eukaryota; Viridiplantae; Streptophyta; Magnoliopsida; Ranunculales; Papaveraceae
Exons: 2
Source: RefSeq, a predicted model, not a curated record
GGCAAAUGUUUUCUUCCUCUUUUAUAUUUCAAUCUCUCUCAGUUCGACCAUGUUCUCACUUUCACUAUACUCUUGGCCUUUAUUCUUCUCCAGUGACUGAAAAGAGUAGCAGAUAUGGCCGGAAAUCUGCCAGGUAAGGUGCUUGUGUACCUGAAGAGCACAAUGGGAAAGGUGAACCGUGUCUUUUAGGGGAGUCAGGAAGAAACAAGAACUCCGUCACAUUUAUCAGCAAUAUUAUCAAGUUUUCUCUUUUGAGAUAACCUCUCUAGCCAUUGAAUUUAGUUUUGGUAAAAUAAUAGCAGAAAUUCUAAAUUAUUAAUUUUUAAAGAUCAGGACAUAUUUUGGUACAG